UCAAAGCAGGGUUCCUAUCCAGUCC
This 25-nucleotide non-coding RNA is filed under the name Mus musculus (house mouse). The record is from RNAcentral. Lineage: Eukaryota; Metazoa; Chordata; Mammalia; Rodentia; Muridae.